Molecule: ribosomal RNA, 342 nt
Filed under: uncultured bacterium
Lineage: Bacteria
Description: bacterial SSU rRNA
Rfam family: Bacterial small subunit ribosomal RNA
Source: RNAcentral
ACCUGCAGUCAGGGGGCCCGCAAGGGCAACCGGCGAACGGGUGCGUAACACGUGAGCGACCUGCCCGCUUGUGGGGGAUAGCCGGCCCAACGGCCGGGUAAUACCGCAUACGCUUUGGCUCCGGCAUCGGGGCCUUCGGAAAGAUUUAUCGCAGGCGGAGGGGCUCGCGGCCUAUCAGCUAGUUGGCGAGGUAACGGCUCACCAAGGCGACGACGGGUAGCUGGUCUGAGAGGAUGGCCAGCCACAUUGGGACUGAGAGACGGCCCAGACUCCUACGGGAGGCAGCAGUGGGGAAUCUUGCGCAAUGGGCGAAAGCCUGACGCAGCGACGCCGCGUGGGGGA